ACGAACGCUGGCGGCGUGCUUAACACAUGCAAGUCGAGCGGUAAGGCCCUUUGGGGUACACGAGCGGCGAACGGGUGAGUAACACGUGAGUAAUCUGCCUUUGGCUUGGGAAUAACUUCGGGAAAUCGGGGCUAAUGCCUGAUGUUUAUUGUCUGCUGCAUGGUGGGUGGUGGAAAGAUUUUUUGGCCAGGGAUGAGCUCGCGGUCUAUCAGCUUGUUGGUGGGGUAAUGGCUACCAAGGCUUUGACGGGUAGCCGGCCUGAGAGGGUGUUCGGCCACACUGGGACUGAGACACGGCCCAGACUCCUACGGGAGGCAGCAGGUGGGGAAUAUUGCGCAAUGGGCGUAAGCCUGACGCAGCGACGCCGCGGUGGGGAUG
RNAcentral lists this ribosomal RNA (378 nucleotides) under uncultured bacterium. Its description in RNAcentral is "bacterial SSU rRNA". It matches the Rfam family "Bacterial small subunit ribosomal RNA", at positions 29 to 410 of the family's 1533-position model. The record is from RNAcentral.